This 252-nucleotide unclassified non-coding RNA is filed under the name plant metagenome. RNAcentral's name for it is "partial contains small subunit ribosomal RNA, internal transcribed spacer 1, and 5.8S ribosomal RNA". The stretch from base 205 to 252 matches the Rfam family "5.8S ribosomal RNA", at positions 1 to 49 of the family's 154-position model. The record is from RNAcentral.
UUUCCGUAGGUGAACCUGCGGAAGGAUCAUUAUUGGAUUUUGAAACUUCAGGCUGCUGCUGGCUCUCCUCGGAGGGCAUGUGCACGCUUGUUGUCCAUUAUUUCUCCCACUGUGCACAAAUUGUAGACCUUUCAGUAGGCCUAUGUUGUUUUUCACAAUCUCUGAAUGUAAUAGAAUGGUUUUGAAUCUUGGGAAAUACAAUACAACUUUCAACAACGGAUCUCUUGGCUCUCGCAUCGAUGAAGACGCAGC